RNAcentral lists this ribosomal RNA (460 nucleotides) under uncultured bacterium. RNAcentral's name for it is "partial 16S ribosomal RNA". It matches the Rfam family "Bacterial small subunit ribosomal RNA", at positions 338 to 795 of the family's 1533-position model. The record is from RNAcentral.
CCUACGGGGGGCUGCAGUGAGGAAUAUUGGUCAAUGGACGAGAGUCUGAACCAGCCAAGUAGCGUGAAGGAUGACUGCCCUCUGGGUUGUAAACUUCUUUUAUAUGGGAAUAAAAUGUUCCACGUGUGGGAUUUUGUAUGUACCAUAUGAAUAAGGAUCGGCUAACUCCGUGCCAGCAGCCGCGGUAAUACGGAGGAUCCGGGCGUUAUCGGGAUUUAUUGGGUUUAAAGGGAGAGUAGGUGGAUUGUUAAGUCAGUUGUGAAAGUUUGCGGCUCAACCGUAAAAUUGCAGGUGAAACUGGCAGUCUUGAGUACAGUAGAGGUGGGCGGAAUUCGUGGUGUAGCGGUGAAAUGCUUAGAUAUCACGAAGAACUCCGAUUGCGAAGGCGGCUCACUGGACUGCAACUGACACUGAGGCGCGAAAGUGUGGGUAUCAAACAGGAUUAGAUACCCGAGUAGUC